RNAcentral lists this ribosomal RNA (497 nucleotides) under uncultured bacterium. Its description in RNAcentral is "partial 16S ribosomal RNA". It matches the Rfam family "Bacterial small subunit ribosomal RNA", at positions 28 to 507 of the family's 1533-position model. The record is from RNAcentral.
GACGAAUGCUGGCGGCGUGCCUAAUACAUGCAAGUUGAGCGAUGAAGCUUGGUGCUUGCACCAAUUUGAAGAGCAGCGAACGGGUGAGUAACGCGUGGGGAAUCUGCCUUUGAGCGGGGGACAACAUUUGGAAACGAAUGCUAAUACCGCAUAACAACUUUAAACAUAAGUUUUAAGUUUGAAAGAUGCAAUUGCAUCACUCAAAGAUGAUCCCGCGUUGUAUUAGCUAGUUGGUGAGGUAAAGGCUCACCAAGGCGAUGAUACAUAGCCGACCUGAGAGGGUGAUCGGCCACAUUGGGACUGAGACACGGCCCAAACUCCUACGGGAGGCAGCAGUAGGGAAUCUUCGGCAAUGGACGAAAGUCUGACCGAGCAACGCCGCGUGAGUGAAGAAGGUUUUCGGAUCGUAAAACUCUGUUGGUAGAGAAGAACGUUGGUGAGAGUGGAAAGCUCAUCAAGUGACGGUAACUACCCAGAAAGGGACGGCUAACUACGUG